Phthorimaea operculella (potato tuberworm) is the source of this 72-nucleotide non-coding RNA. The record is from the annotation of a GenBank genome assembly. NCBI's taxonomy places the organism in Eukaryota, Metazoa, Arthropoda, Insecta, Lepidoptera, Gelechiidae.
ACAUCGAUAGCUCAGUGGCAGAGCGGUGGGGCGUUUACCCAUGCGGCCCGGGUUCGAUCCCCGGUCGAUGUA